RNAcentral lists this ribosomal RNA (472 nucleotides) under uncultured organism. Its description in RNAcentral is "partial 16S ribosomal RNA". It matches the Rfam family "Bacterial small subunit ribosomal RNA", at positions 334 to 797 of the family's 1533-position model. The record is from RNAcentral.
CACUCCUACGGGAGGCAGCAGUGGGGAAUUUUGGACAAUGGGCGAAAGCCUGAUCCAGCAAUGCCGCGUGUGUGAAGAAGGCCUUCGGGUUGUAAAGCACUUUUGUCCGGAAAGAAAUCCUUGGCUCUAAUACAGUCGGGGGAUGACGGUACCGGAAGAAUAAGCAACGGCUAACUACGUGCCAGCAGCCGCGGUAAUACGUAGGGUGCGAGCGUUAAUCGGAAUUACUGGGCGUAAAGCGUGCGCAGGCGGUUUGCUAAGACCGAUGUGAAAUCCCCGGGCUCAACCUGGGAACUGCAUUGGUGACUGGCAGGCUAGAGUAUGGCAGAGGGGGGUAGAAUUCCACGUGUAGCAGUGAAAUGCGUAGAGAUGUGGAGGAAUACCGAUGGCGAAGGCAGCCCCCUGGGCCAAUACUGACGCUCAUGCACGAAAGCGUGGGGAGCAAACAGGAUUAGAUACCCUAGUAGUCCCA